CUUCCUCCCUUCCUUCCUUCCUCCUUUCCUUCCUUCCUUCCUUCCUUCCUUCCUUGCUUCCUUCCUUCCUUCCUUCUUUUUCUAUGCAAGCAGGGAUUGGCCCCGUAGAGGUAUAGUUGUCCCAGGUGGCGGGGGUGUCUUCUCUCUGCGGGAAACAACGGGCACUCACAGAGUUACACAGGUUUACACACGCAUGCACACGCGCAACAUAUAUAAUGUUCGCACUGCAUUCAACAAAGUGGAGAAAAAUAAACAAGGAGAGAAAAAAUUGAAUUUGGGGAGGAGGGAAGAGAGGUGUUCCUCCCCCCACGGACCCCUCCCCCACAUGGGUUAAUUCUCCCUUCCCCCUUCUUUUGUGUAACUGUCACUUUCUGUGAUUAAGAACCGUCAAUUGUACGUUUGUUUGGGGUUCUUUGUUUUGGAAACGGUCAAUUACACAGGUAAGACCACGGAGGCCUGUGGACUCUGCAGGCGAUCUUUGUACUGGUCGAGCCAGUGCCUCAGUUCUGAGAUCUUGUAGCCCUCGGGGCCUCGUCCCCCCUGGUACAUGACUCGAGCCUCCUGGAUGAUAUAGAGCCGUUCCGAGUAGGCACCAUACGCUGCACUGGACGCGUUGUCCAUGGUGUCCACGGCAAGUAAGCAUCCUGGGGCGCCCUCCUGCAAAAGCCGGGCAGCCCGCAAUCGGUCCUGAAGGCACUGGUGCUUGGGGAUGUCGUAGGCUGCAUCUGAGCUGGCCCAGCCGUCGGAUGGGUGGGCUUCUUCAAUGUAGACAAGCAAGAAGUCGGCGAUGUCUAGGAAGGUGGAGGCGAGACGCUGGAAGGCGCGCAGUCGCGCCGUGAACGGGGGUCAGGUGCAGCUGCCGAAGUUGAGAACCAGUGGCCGGCUGCCCCGCGCGAAGUCUAAGAUGCGUAGUCUUUUCAGUCCGUCCAGUUGAAUGACCUCGGGAUUGGGGGCUAGGGAGCCCUUGUGGGCAGUCUUGAAGAAGUCCAUCUUUUGCCCGUGCCAGACAGCCUUCAGCGACUCUAUAGUGCAGAGCCGAUUGGAGUCAGAGACCCAGAUUGGCGGGUCAUCAGGGGGUAGCCCCGGGAACAGGAUAACAGCUGCCCCAUCCUCCUCCUCUCCUCCACCCCUGCUCCCGCCCCCGCCCGCCUUCCAGGGCUCCUCAGCUUCGCCUUCGUGCCGGCGUCUCAGCAGCACCUUCUUGCGGAUGCACAGGAAGUCCAGUAGCCACAGCGUCAGCGCUGUGGCCAGGAAGCGCGGGCCCAGGAAACAGCAGGCGGCCACCUGGGUAAGAAAGCCCAAGGUGUGAACCAGGAGGGAGUGGAGCCUGCCGGCUAGCCGCGGCGCAGCUGGGCAGCUGCGGCCGCGGCCGCCCUGGGCCCCACCCCCUCGCUCCCCUAGCCGACUUGGGUCCGGGCUGCUCAUCUGAGAUCCCGCUUCCCCUUAAACUGGAUUUAUAGUCGCGGGUUUAAAAGAAAAGGCGACUCCGCCCCCA
This 1495-nucleotide long non-coding RNA is filed under the name Sarcophilus harrisii (Tasmanian devil). RNAcentral's name for it is "lncRNA (ENSSHAG00000023104.1)". Lineage: Eukaryota; Metazoa; Chordata; Mammalia; Dasyuromorphia; Dasyuridae. The record is from RNAcentral.